Long non-coding RNA from Anneissia japonica, 348 nucleotides. RefSeq lists it as uncharacterized. NCBI's taxonomy places the organism in Eukaryota, Metazoa, Echinodermata, Crinoidea, Comatulida, Comatulidae. The transcript is spliced from 3 exons. The record is from RefSeq and is a predicted model, not a curated record.
UCAUCAACUUUAUUACAAGUCUGCUGUCUGCCGUAGUUCAUUAAGUUUAUCUAUAGACCUUGCCGGUCUCGGACACCAGUCGUUGAUCCAACUUACUUAGCCGUGGGCUCAGCUAAUUCUAUUUGUGUGUGCACAUGAUGAUAGUAACUGCUAUCUGAUUUAUAUGGAAAGUGGUAAAUGGUACUACAAGAAUGCGGAAAAUUCUCCCAAAGAAAUCGACGUGCACUUUUCGUCGGCAUUGUGCUACAAAUUCAUCCGAGGAUCAUCAAGACAGCAAUCGGCUUAUAACGCUCAAAUUGAAUGCAAACAACAAGGAGGAAACAUUGCAGUAAGAAGAAAUGACCAGCA